GUCUACGGCCAUACCACCCUGAACGCACCCAAUCUUGUCAGCUAUGCAGGGUCAGGCCUAGUUAGUACUCGGAUGGGAGAUUGGGAAUAGCAGGUGCUGUAGGCU
This 105-nucleotide ribosomal RNA is filed under the name Saimiri boliviensis boliviensis (Bolivian squirrel monkey). Lineage: Eukaryota; Metazoa; Chordata; Mammalia; Primates; Cebidae. The record is from RNAcentral.